RNAcentral lists this ribosomal RNA (763 nucleotides) under uncultured Bacillota bacterium. RNAcentral describes it as "bacterial SSU rRNA". It matches the Rfam family "Bacterial small subunit ribosomal RNA", at positions 564 to 1337 of the family's 1533-position model. The record is from RNAcentral. Lineage: Bacteria; Bacillati; Bacillota.
AGGGCAAGUAGUCGGUUGUUAUAGUCUGAUGUUAAAUCUCAUCGCUCAACGGUGAGGCCGCAUUAGAAACGUAACUUCUAGAGCGAGUCAUGGGCAUGCGGAACGUGUGGUGUAGCUGUGAAAUGCAUUGAUAUCACACGGAACACCAAAAGCGAAGGCAGCAUGCUGUGGCUUUGCUGACGAUCAAUUGCGAAAGCGUGGGGAUCAAAAAGGAUUAGACACCCUUGUAGUCCACGCCCUAAACGUUGCACAUUAGCUAUUGGGAGCAUCGACCCUCCCUGUGGCGCAGCUAACGCGUUAAAUGUGCCACCUGGGAAGUACGAGCGCAAGCUUAAAACUCAAAGGAAUAGGCGGGAGUUCGCACAAGCGGUGGAUCAUGUGGUUCAAUUCGACACUGAGCGAAAAACCUCACCAGGGCUUGAAAUCUAGCUGCACGCCUCCAGAAACGGAGGAAGCCUUCGAGGGUGCUAGACAGGUGCUGCACGGCUAUCGUCAGCUCGUCAUGUGAAUGGUUCCCUUAAGUGGGGAAACGAGCGCAACCCCCGUUGUGUGUUACAAGUGUCACACGAGACUGCCCGGGUUGACCGGGAGGAAGGAGGGGAUGACGUUAAGUCAGCGUGGCCCUUUGAUGCCCUGGGCUACACACAUGAUACAAUGGACGAAACAAUGGGUUGCCAAACCGUGAGGUGGAGCUAAUCCCAUCAAAUACGUCCUCAAUUCGGAUUGGAGGCUGAAACUUGCCUCCAUGAAGCCGGAAUCGCUA